AGAUUGAACGCUGGCGGCAGGCCUAACACAUGCAAGUCGAGCGGCAGCACGGGUACUUGUACCUGGUGGCGAGCGGCGGACGGGUGAGUAAUGCCUAGGAAUCUGCCUGGUAGUGGGGGGAUAACGCUCGGAAACGGACGCUAAUACCGCAUACGUCCUACGGGAGAAAGCAGGGGACCUUCGGGCCUUGCGCUAUCAGAUGAGCCUAGGUCGGAUUAGCUAGUUGGUGAGGUAAUGGCUCACCAAGGCGACGAUCCGUAACUGGUCUGAGAGGAUGAUCAGUCACACUGGAACUGAGACACGGUCCAGACUCCUACGGGAGGCAGCAGCGGGAAUAUUGGACAAUGGGCGAAAGCCUGAUCCAGCCAUGCCGCGUGUGUGAAGAAGGUCUUCGGAUUGUAAAGCACUUUAAGUUGGAGAAGGCAGUUACCUAAUACGUAUCUGUUUUGACGUUACCGACAGAAUAAGCAACCGGCUAAACUCUGUG
This 487-nucleotide ribosomal RNA is filed under the name uncultured soil bacterium. Its description in RNAcentral is "bacterial SSU rRNA". It matches the Rfam family "Bacterial small subunit ribosomal RNA", at positions 26 to 507 of the family's 1533-position model. The record is from RNAcentral.